This 1848-nucleotide long non-coding RNA is filed under the name Trifolium pratense (red clover). Its description in RNAcentral is "long non-coding RNA (TPRA_LNC004723)". Lineage: Eukaryota; Viridiplantae; Streptophyta; Magnoliopsida; Fabales; Fabaceae. The record is from RNAcentral.
GUAUUUGAUAUUAGGUGAGUUUGGUCUUACUAAAAUGUGGGUCCCAUCAGAGUUAGUGUGGCCUCAAUAAUUAAUUCCUCUACUACCUUUUGAAGUGGGUUACUAAAUCUUCUCUUAAAUUAGUUCCACAAAUAUCUCUAAUUAAAAUUUCUUCUACUAAUUAAAAUCGGGAUGUUACAAUCUAUCCCCUUAAAAGAAUUUCGUCUGCGAAAUUCAAUAACUUCUUCAUUCAUUACCAAAGUAAAUUGUAUACAUCCUCGUCCAAAUUCUAGACUUCGUUUCCAAACAGUCAUGAUCUAUUGUUCAAGGUCAUUAAUCAUCACUCUUCGUAGCAUUAGCACUUGGUUAUUUUAUUUAUGGAAAUCUUAACUCGUUCAUUUCAUAACAUCGAACUCAUAAUCUCGGCCCAUAAUACAACUUUUUGGUGCACGCUAAUCUUAUAUUAGCUCUUUUUUUUUUUUGUUAUUUUCAUCGAUACAACCGCUCAUGGUGCAAUAUUCCCAUUUUCUGCACCCUUCAAUUCAACACUGAGCAUAUCUAAUCUUAUUGGUUCACUGCGUCAAACCUUCUUAGUUGAACCGCUUUCCUUUCACAAUCUUUGUUCUCACGGGUACUCCAUUACCAACAAUACAAGUUUUAAGUGUGAACGUAUGCAUAAUGUACUCGUCUCACAUUCGUCAAUCGUUUUACGUCAUUCACAUCAAUUUUCUUAGAAUAAAACUUUCCUCUUCUCAAAGGGUUUUGGCCUAAAGACCAAAGUGCUGACUACAUUAUCAACCAAUACUUGCUGCGCACUCUGAUCUCUAUUACAUAUUGUCAUCUUCUGACUGCGUCAUUACGACCUUAGUUUACAACUUCCCAAACACUGUCACAUUUCGUUUCAUCUUAUCCGACGUUUUCUCAUAUUUUUAUUACUUCUUCUACCAUAUGGCAUCACAAAAUAAAUCUCACAUCAUUUCGUGACGUUAGACGCACCACUAUAUAUAUACUACUUUACUACCAUCUAACAUAUCUGUAACUCCUUACUUCUUAUCUCUUAUAGUUAUUUCCUACUCAUACUCUCCUCAUUUUUGAGUUUGAUUGCAUUAAUGUUUCCAACGUUCGAGGUACCUUACGAUGUUGUUUAACAAGUUAACAAGACACGUGAGAACUUAAGCUGAAAUUACUCAUGACCCUUAAUGGUUAACUUAGACUUCUUUGGUUUUGAACUGGUCAUCAGUAAUGAAACGAAAGAUCGGAGAAUCUCUUGAUGGGAAACAUAAUGUUACUGUUUUGAAGAUCGACAUGAAUAACUGAUAGAUCUUAAAGGAUCACAACUUAUUACUCUUAAGAAGAAAUUCAAACUUACCUAGGCCCGAACUGAUUACUGAUAACGAAGUUACAAAGUUGAAGACAUUUCUUCAGAGUUACAUAAGGUAACACUCUAAUUGUGAAUCCAAUUCGCUGAUAUUAAGGAAUUUAGAAAGUUUUCAACAUUAGAUAGGCUCGGAAACUUUAAUGUUCAUAACAUAAUAAGGCUUACUGGUUAUGAAUCAAGCAUCACAUUGAUUCGAUGAAUUUAGCUGAAUUUAAUUGACAACACUCCGAAAACGGUUUAACUUAGUCGUUUGGGUUAUUGGCUGAUAGGUUCGAAUACGGGAAAUUAUUUGGCAACUUACUGAAGGUAGUACCGAAUUGCGUUACUUGUUCCUGAAGCAAAUGGAAAUGACAUUUAAUAUGUCUGCUUAGGUGACUGAUUGCAUCAAAAUUAAACUCUAAUUGUUACUCUAAACAAGACUUAACUGCUACUGGUUUGGCUUGAAUACACUAGUUACGAACUGAGUGGCUGAAUUCAUCUUGCUGGGAACG